Molecule: ribosomal RNA, 398 nt
Filed under: uncultured Bacillus sp.
Lineage: Bacteria; Bacillati; Bacillota; Bacilli; Caryophanales; Bacillaceae
Also listed under: 1 other name
Description: bacterial SSU rRNA
Rfam family: Bacterial small subunit ribosomal RNA
Source: RNAcentral
UCCGGGAAACCGGAGCUUAAUUACCGGAUAAUCCAUUUACUUCAUGGUGAAAUGUUGAAAGGCGCUUUCGCGCCACUGCAGGUAUGGGGCCCGCGGUGCAUUAGCUAGUUGGUGGGGUAACGGCCUACCAAGGCGACGAUGCAUAGCCGACCUGAGAGGGUGAUCGGCCACAUUGGGACUGAGACACGGCCCAAACUCCUACGGGAGGCAGCAGUAGGGAAUCUUCCACAAUGGACGAAAGUCUGAUGGAGAACGCCGCGUGAGUGAUGAAGGUUUUCGGAUCGUAAAACUCUGUUGUAAGGGAAGNACAAGUACGUUAGGAAAUGAACGUACCUUGACGGUGCCUUAUUAGAAAGCCACGGCUAACUACGUGCCAGCAGCCGCGUCAAUACGUAUGG